Molecule: RNA transcript, 2042 nt
Organism: Pangasianodon hypophthalmus (striped catfish)
Lineage: Eukaryota; Metazoa; Chordata; Actinopteri; Siluriformes; Pangasiidae
Exons: 11
Source: RefSeq, a predicted model, not a curated record
UUGUUUGGGCUUUUGUAAGCAGCGUAACAAACAUAAUUCAAAAAGGAAUUUAAUUUAAAAAAAUCCCUAGAUAAACAGGUUUCAUAUUAUACUUUAGCAAGUGUCCACAUAUAGGCUUAAAACGUGGGUGUCUCUCAGGAAAUGACAGAGGACAGCCGCCUACAGGACUAUUUCUGUGCUCCGCUUCCUACAGGUUUCAUUGUAAAUUGGUGUGGGUAACAAAUAGGAAAUGAGCGUGAAAUACUUUGUUCAUCUUUUAAUAUUUUUCAGUGCCCUUGUGCCAAAUGGUUUAAAUUGUUCAGAGUCAUGUAACAGCAUUACUCUCAACAUUCAGCUGGGCUCGGAAGUGUUGCUCCCAUGCACACUUUUGAAAAGUAACAAAACCGAAGAAGCCAGGUGGAUCCAAACUUCCAGUCUUCUGAGCAUUAGGCCUAAUGGAAACAUCACCUUUGAUGAUCCCAGGGAUGGCAGAAUGACAGUAUUCCCCCUCCUGUUUGGCAGAGGAAAUUUCUCCAUCCUCGUUCAUCAGUUCCAGGCCUCUGACAUGGGCAUAUACUGCUGUCAGCUGAGCCAUGAGUGCCAGAGAGUUGAAAUAAAGCUCUCGCAAAGUCCAGAAGAUCACAAAGGAGGUUUGAAUUUCCCAUGGUACUAUAUUGCUGCUGGAGUUGGAAUAUUUAUUCUGCUUGUGAUUGUAUUUAGUCUUAUCUAUAAAUUCAGAGCAGGAAACUGUCUAAAAAGAUCAUCUGAUUCUUAUUACGUCAACUCAGAACGCAAAGAACAAAAGGAGGCAGGACAUAGAGAGCAUGUUGAGAGAGCCAAGGUUGAUGAGUGUGAUGGUGAGUAUGAAGAAAUCGAGAGUGAUACACAUGAGGCGGAUUAUGAAAACACACCGGAAAAAGAGCAUGAUGGCCAGUAUGAAGAUACAGUGAGUGAAGAGCAGGACGAGGAUUAUGUAAACACUGACAGAAGAAGUAGUCAUGAUCAGUAUGACAAUACUGACCGUGAGUACCCUGCUGAACUCCAUGUGAACAGAGAUAUGCAAGGUUACUAUGACAACAUAUGUGUCUAUGAAAAUGAUGAGCACUAUCCCAAUCAAAAGUCAAAAUCCCCACGAAAAGCAGAAUUCAGAAAAAAGCCACAUCAGCAGCCAAAUUCAGCAAGACUAUACUAUGAGCCCCAGUCCCAGCUGAAGAGAACAGGUCCAUAGCAUGAUGCUGCCACCAGAAUGCUUCACCGUGGCCAAUCAGUCAGAGAUACUCAAGUCUGGCUGUCCUGGGAAGAGAAACAAAAAAGAAUCUCAGUUCAAAAAUCCAUUAUAUGACCAAAGUCCAGCACACAAGAAAUAAACAAUCAUCUUCCAAUUCACUAAAAAUAUGCCUGUUUAAGUCAAUGUAUUGUAAUAUUCUGUUUAUUAUUGUUCCACUGGAUUUGUGAGUUAGUAAAUAAGAAAAUAGUCUAAAUGGCUGCAUGAUUCUGGUUUAUACUGUGUAAAGAAGUAUGAGUGUGCUUUCUUUCAUUGCUUAUCAGGCUUAAUCAUCAGUUUUUUCACUUUUGAGAUCUUUUGAAUAAAUAAAUAAAUAAAUAAAUAAAUAAAUAGGUCCUUAACACUUCCUUUCUCAUUCUGAUGAUUAUGUGCUGAGUUUUUGUAUGCAGAAUUCUUUUAAUGCAGAAUUUAUAAAGCUAUACAAAGCUUUUCUCUGAGGAUUGUUAUUAGAUCUUUGAGGCCUUCUGCUUUCAGCAUGCAAGUCUGUUAGAGCAAGAAUGUUCUUCAAAUGAUCAAAAGUCAAAAGAUUUUCAUUGUAUAUAAUUUUGUUCAGCAGUACAGCACGUCAGCAAUUUUGCAUAAAAACCGUUAGAUUAGAGAUGCAAUUUAACCUAAUCAUGGUUGCACAGACCCAGGCCAGUAAGAAGAUAGAGAGAAUCUACAACAGAAGAUACUGGGAGACAUUCAGAGAAAAACUCUUAUGACUUAAAAUAAAAUAAAAUUGUACAGCAUAACCUUGUUUUGUUGGAGAAAUUGUUUUAAUAAAUCUAAUAAGGAA